AAUCCAUAGGUUAAUGAGGCGAACCGGGGGAACUGAAACAUCUAAGUACCCCGAGGAAAAGAAAUCAACCGAGAUUCCCCCAGUAGCGGCGAGCGAACGGGGAGGAGCCCAGAGCCUGAAUCAGCAUGUGUGUUAGUGGAAGCGUCUGGAAAGGCGCGCGAUACAGGGUGACAGCCCCGUACACAAAAGCGCAUGUGCUGUGAGCUCGAUGAGUAGGGCGGGACACGUGGUAUCCUGUCUGAAUAUGGGGGGACCAUCCUCCAAGGCUAAAUACUCCUGACUGACCGAUAGUGAACCAGUACCGUGAGGGAAAGGCGAAAAGAACCCCGGCGAGGGGAGUGAAAAAGAACCUGAAACCGUGUACGUACAAGCAGUGGGAGCACCCUUUUGGGUGUGACUGCGUACCUUUUGUAUAAUGGGUCAGCGACUUAUAUUCUGUAGCAAGGUUAACCGAAUAGGGGAGCCGGAGGGAAACCGAGUCUUAAUUGGGCGUUAAGUUGCAGGGUAUAGACCCGAAACCCGGUGAUCUAGCCAUGGGCAGGUUGAAGGUUGGGUAACACUAACUGGAGGACCGAACCGACUAAUGUUGAAAAAUUAGCGGAUGACCUGUGGCUGGGGGUGAAAGGCCAAUCAAACCGGGAGAUAGCUGGUUCUCCCCGAAAGCUAUUUAGGUAGCGCCUCGUGAAUUCAUCUCCGGGGGUAGAGCACUGUUUCGGCUAGGGGGCCAUCCCGGCUUACCAACCCGAUGCAAACUGCGAAUACCGGAGAAUGUUAUCACGGGAGACACACGGCGGGUGCUAACGUCCGUCGUGAAGAGGGAAACAACCCAGACCGCCAGCUAAGGUCCCAAAGUCAUGGUUAAGUGGGAAACGAUGUGGGAAGGCCCAGACAGCCAGGAUGUUGGCUUAGAAGCAGCCAUCAUUUAAAGAAAGCGUAAUAGCUCACUGGUCGAGUCGGCCUGCGCGGAAGAUGUAACGGGGCUAAACCAUGCACCGAAGCUGCGGCAGCGACACUCAGGUGUUGUUGGGUAGGGGAGCGUUCUGUAAGCCUGUGAAGGUGUGUCGUGAGGC
RNAcentral lists this ribosomal RNA (1070 nucleotides) under Salmonella enterica subsp. enterica serovar Bareilly. Its description in RNAcentral is "partial 23S ribosomal RNA". It matches the Rfam family "Bacterial large subunit ribosomal RNA", at positions 161 to 1269 of the family's 2925-position model. Lineage: Bacteria; Pseudomonadati; Pseudomonadota; Gammaproteobacteria; Enterobacterales; Enterobacteriaceae. The record is from RNAcentral.